CGCCUCCCCUCGCCGCGCCGCCACUUCUCCUCCGGCCGCAACCGCCGUGGCCUCCACGACGAGCUCGGUCUUUAGUGAUUGAAAAGCAAUGGUGGAGCAUGGAAGCCCCCUCAACAAUGUUGAACAAGUGUUCAUUGCUGCCUGAAUGUACCGAAAUAGGUUCGGACAGAGCACGAAUAUGGCGGUUGGUCUACCGCUUGGUAGCAGGCAGAUAGUAGUGUACAUGCUUGCUAUGCUUGCUAGUAGAAGACUUCGAUCCGACAUACUGGAUAUUAGGGCGUUUGUGUUGCAUGGUUGGGUGAUGUACCACUGGAAGCAUUGCUAUGCUUUGUCUGCUGUCGCUGUUUUCUGUAGAUGAGGUGCCGCGCGUUGCAUGAAGAUUGCCCGGAUGGUUUGUUUGGCCCUCUGAGCGGUGCAGAUGUAAUUUUUAUUAUGAUUGAGGUCCUUUGUAUUUUUGGCGAACAAAAGAAAAAUGUGUGUAUGCUGUUUGGCUCAGCAUAUUGCUGCCGGAAUCAACUUUAUGAUCUAUUCCGAUGCAAGAAGAAAAUAGAAACUCUGUUUGAUGCUUGCUCGGAUAACCAGAAGGGAAAUGCUUGUUUUUCCAGCCGCCAUAAAAGCUUCGGAGAAAAUCGCACCUCAGAAUAUGUUGGCCACACAACUACAAGCUAUUUUUCGUCCUAUAUAUGCUGCCAUAUACUGUAUUAUGUACUCCCUCUGUCCCGUAAUAUAAGAACGUUUUUGGCACUAGUGUAGUGUCAAAAAGGUUCUUAUAUUAUGGGACGGGUGGAGUAUAUCUUUUUUCUUUAUGGCCUCUCUGAAAGGGACCUGUUUUUCUUAUGGAUCAGCUCGGACAGGUAUGAUCACACAGUUUUUGUUCAAACGGAGGUAGUAUGUGAUUU
This is a long non-coding RNA of Triticum dicoccoides, 899 nucleotides long. RefSeq lists it as uncharacterized. The transcript is spliced from 3 exons. NCBI's taxonomy places the organism in Eukaryota, Viridiplantae, Streptophyta, Magnoliopsida, Poales, Poaceae. The record is from RefSeq and is a predicted model, not a curated record.